ACACACACACACACACACACACAGAUAUAUUAGUGUUUCGAUGGUGUGAACGUGAGUGUGUAAUGUGAGGGGUGCACUUUGGUCAGUGAGCACAAUCGCAAACACAAAAUGUGGACAUCAUCGAGCCCUGCAGCGUCGAUGACAUCAGCUGUUUGAAGAGGAGCGUCUCCUGAACGUGUGAGUGAUUUCUUCUUUUAUUUUAAUUUAACUAGCAAGGAUGCAGACAGAAAAACGACGUGUUUGAAAGAAGCUCAGCUGAGAAAUGAUUCCACCGAUACGGAGCAUAAAUACAGACGGAGUCCUGGUGCUACAGUAGAUACCAAACUUCAUCUUUGUCCAGUUAUGGCCGGCAGUAAAUUCAGAGGCUCGUUGUCUAACAUGAAAUAUUUGUGUGUGUGAGUGUGUGUGUGCAUGCAGAUGCUCGACCUGACCCGGUGACCCUCAGCAGUCGAUGCCAAGAGGUGACUGAUGGAGGAAGAGGAGGCCCCAGCCACUCCGGUGUGUGUUGCAGAGAUGGAAGAGGUUACGACAGUGGACGGAAAGAAGAAAGAGUCUUUCCAGGAGACGGUGGUAACAACAGUGACAACGAUGACCAGGAUGGAUGUACAGGAGAGGGAGGAGGUUGAAACUGAGAAAAUAACUGAGGAGGAAGAGGAGGAGGAAGAGGAGGAGGAGGAGGAAAAGAUGGAGGAGGAAAAUGAAGCAGGAAUGGAGGCAGGAGAAGAGAAUGGACGGGAAGAGAAGGGUCAUGCAAAGAAGUUGUUGGGCUCUUGGGAAUCCGAGGUCUCAGCUGAUGAAAAGCCUCCGCUACCAGAUCCAGCGUUUAACAGGAGAUGCAGUUUGCUCGUCAGUGACGUGAAGUAUAAGGAGGACUUUGAGAAGAUGAGGGGUCAGAGUCUGUUUGUUCCCGGAGCCGAACUCAUCCACGCCAAGAACAUCAGUGCUGUGAUAUCCGAGUCGAAGUACAAAGAGGACGGAAAGAAGGAAGCGUCCAUGUCUCUGUACUCCAUCCUGCCGGAGACUCCGGAGACUCAGCGCGCCAGAGAGACUUCAGAGCUGCAGAGCGAGAUUAAAUACAAAGGGAACGUGAAGACAGACGUUUCCACCUCUCUGUAUUCACUGAUGCCCGAAACCACGGAGACGCAGUUUGUCAAAGAGCUGACGGAGAUACUGAGUGAGAACAAGUACAAAGAGGAAGGAAAGAAGGAGAUGAGCAGCAGUUUGUACUCUCAGCUUCCUGAAACCGCCGAGAUGCAGCUGGCCAAGACGCUGCACGAGUUUCAGAGCGAGAAAAAGUACAAAGAGGACGGGAAGAGAAAGGCCUCGACCUCGCUCUAUUCCCAACUCGCCGACACUCCAGAAAUCCAGCACGCUCUGGAGGUGUCUCAGCUGCAGAGUGAGGUGAACUAUCGGCCGAAGGUGCUGGUUAGAGGAGCUCCUUCCUCUCUGUACUCUCAGCUCCCCGACACCGCAGACAUCCAGUUUGCCAGAGAGAUGACUGAGAUGCAGAGCGAGAGUAAAUACAAGGAGGGCGGCAGGAGGAGCCUCUCGCAGAGUUUCUACUCUCAGCUCCCGGAGACCGCCGAGACUCAGUUUGCUAAGACUGUCGCUGAGCUGCAGAGCGAGAUGCGGUACAAGGAAGCGGGUAAGAAGGGCGGGAACUCGAGUUUGUACUCUCUUCUCCCGGAGACUUUGGAGACGGCUCAUGCCAAGGAAGUGUCUGAGCUCUACAGUGAGGUGAAGUAUAAAGAGGACGGUAAGAAGGAGAUGAGCAUCAACCUGUACUCUCUGCUGCCUCAGACCAUCGACACCCAGCACGCCAAAGAGGCGUCACAGCUGCAGAGCGAGGUGAAGUAUAAAGAAGGUGUGAAGCAGAAGAUUCAGAGCAGUUUGUACCAUCAGCUCCCAGAGACCACCGAGACACAGCUGGCCAAACAGCUGUCUGAGCUGCAGAGUGAGGCGAAGUAUAAAGAAGCGGGAAAGAAGGAAGUGAACACCUGCCUUUACUCUCUGCUGCCUGAAACUCUGGAGACUCGACGCGCCAGAGAGACGUCGGAGCUGCUCAGUGAGAUUAAGUACAAGGAGAGCGGGAAGAAGGAGAUGUGCAGCUCGCUCUACUCCACUCUGCCCGACACGUCAGAAAGCAGCUUCGCCAGAGAGAUGAGCGACAUGCAGAGCGAGAAUAAAUACAAGCAGAGCGUCGUGAAGAGUCUCUCACAGAGCGUCUACUCUCAGCUGCCGGAGACCGCCGAGACGCAGUUUGCUAAAAGUGUUUCUGAGCUGCAGAGCGAGAUGAAGUACAAAGAAGCUGGGAAGAAAGGAGCCAUGAGCUCUGUGUACUCGACUCUGCCUGAGACUCUGGAGACGCUGCACGCUAAAGAAGCUUCUGAACUGCAGAGUGAGCUGAAGUACAAGGCGGCUCAGAAGAAAGUUCGUUCCUCCAGUCUGUUCCACGUGCUGCCCGAGACGUUAGAGACGGCCCACGCUAAGGAAGCCUCCGAGCUCCUCAGCCAGGUGAAGUAUAAAGAGGACGGUAAGAAGGAGAUGAGCAUCAACCUGUACUCUCUGCUGCCUCAGACCAUCGACACCCAGCACGCUGGAGAGGCGUCAAAGCUGCAGAGCGAGGUGAAGUAUAAAGAAGGUGUGAAGCAGAAGAUUCAGAGCAGUUUGUACCAUCAGCUCCCAGAGACCACCGAGACACAGCUGGCCAAACAGCUGUCUGAGCUGCAGAGUGAGACCAAGUACAAGGAGGCGGGUAAGAAGGAGGCCAACACGUGUCUGUACUCCCUGCUGCCUGUCACCAUGGAGACGCAGCACGCUAAAGAAGCCGCAGAGCUGCUCAGCGAGGUCAAAUACAAGGAGAGCGGGAAGAAGGAGAUGUCCAGCUCCCUCUACUCCACUCUGCCCGACACGUCAGAGACCAGCUUCGCCAGAGAGAUGAGCGACAUGCAGAGCGAGAACAAGUACAAGGAGGACGGAAAGAGGAGCCUCGCUCAGAGCUUCUACUCUCAGCUGCCAGAAACCAGCGACACUCAGUUUGCUAAAAGUGUCUCUGAGCUGCAGAGCGAGAUGAAGUACAAAGAAGCUGGGAAGAAAGGAGCCAUGAGCUCUGUGUACUCGACUCUGCCUGAGACUCUGGAGACGCUGCACGCUAAAGAAGCUUCUGAACUGCAGAGUGAGCUGAAGUACAAGGCGGCUCAGAAGAAAGUUCGUUCCUCCAGUCUGUUCCACGUGCUGCCCGAGACGUUAGAGACGGCCCACGCUAAGGAAGCCUCCGAGCUCCUCAGCCAGGUGAAGUAUAAAGAGGACGGUAAGAAGGAGAUGAGCAUCAACCUGUACUCUCUGCUGCCUCAGACCAUCGACACCCAGCACGCUGGAGAGGCGUCAAAGCUGCAGAGCGAGGUGAAGUAUAAAGAAGGUGUGAAGCAGAAGAUUCAGAGCAGUUUGUACCAUCAGCUCCCAGAGACCACCGAGACACAGCUGGCCAAACAGCUGUCUGAGCUGCAGAGUGAGACCAAGUACAAGGAGGCGGGUAAGAAGGAGGCCAACACGUGUCUGUACUCCCUGCUGCCUGUCACCAUGGAGACGCAGCACGCUAAAGAAGCCGCAGAGCUGCUCAGCGAGGUCAAAUACAAGGAGAGCGGGAAGAAGGAGAUGUCCAGCUCCCUCUACUCCACUCUGCCCGACACGUCAGAGACCAGCUUCGCCAGAGAGAUGAGCGACAUGCAGAGCGAGAACAAGUACAAGGAGGACGGAAAGAGGAGCCUCGCUCAGAGCUUCUACUCUCAGCUGCCAGAAACCAGCGACACUCAGUUUGCUAAAAGUGUCUCUGAGCUGCAGAGCGAGAUGAAGUACAAAGAAGCUGGGAAGAAAGGAGCCAUGAGCUCUGUGUACUCGACUCUGCCUGAGACUCUGGAGACGCUGCACGCUAAAGAAGCUUCUGAACUGCAGAGUGAGCUGAAGUACAAGCAGAGUUUAAAGACAGACUCCAGUCUGUACCACCACAUGCCGGAGACCCUCGACACUCAGUUUGCCAGGCAGCAGACGGAGCUGCUGAGCGAGGUCAAGUACAAAGAAGACAGCAAGAAGGAGAUGAGCGUCAACCUGUACGGUCUGGUGCCCGACGCCGUCGACAUCCAGCACGCCAAAGAGCUGACAGACAUGCAGAGCGAGGCUAAGUACAAAGAGGCCGGUAAGAAGCAGGCGUCCACGUCUCUGUAUCAGCGACUGCCUGAAACUCUGGAGACUCAACACGCUAAAGAAGCUUCACAGCUGCAGAGUCAGAUCUUGUACAAGGAGGCUGGUAAGAAGGACUUGUCGUGUCCGGCUUACCACCGGCUGCCCGACACUCUGGAGAACCAGUUUGCCCGAGAGCUCACCGACAUGCAGAGCCACAACAAGUACAAGGAGGACGGGAUGAGGAGCCUCGCUCAGAGCUUCUACUCUCAGCUGCCAGAAACCGCCGAGAUUCAGUUUGCUAAAAGUGUCUCUGAGCUGCAGAGCGAGACUAAGUAUAAGAAGUCCGGGCGGCAGGAGGCCGGCAGCUGUCUGUACUCUGUGAUGGCAGAAACUCUGGACACUCAACACGCCAAGCAGGCGUCCCAGAUCCAGAGCCAGGUGAAGUACAGAGAGGACGUGCAGAAGGAGCUGUCGUCCAGUCUGUUCUCCAGCCUCCCUCAGACGCUCCAGACCGAGCUGGCCAAGGAGGUGACGGAGCUCCAGAGCCAGGUGAAAUAUAAAGACGGCUGUAAGAAGGAGGCGUCCUCGACGCUCUACCACCUCCUCCCCGAGACGGCAGAGAUGCUUUUUGCCAAACAGAUGUCGGAGAUGCAGAGCGAGACAAAGUACAAGAAGGACAAAGAGGAUCUGCCCAUCACUCUGCACUCGCUGCUGCCUGAAACUCUGCACACUCAGUUUGUCAAAGAGAUGGCCAACACACACAGCGAGGUGAAGUACAGGCAGGCUGUGAAGCAGCAGGCGUCGUCUCUGUUCUCCAAACUGCCCGAAACUCUGGAGACCAAACACGCCAAAGAAGUGACCGAGCUGCAGAGUGAAAGGAAGUACAAAGAUGGAGGCAGGAAGCAGAUGACGUCGUCUCUGUACUCUCAGCUUCCUCAAACUUCAGAGACGCAGUUCGCCCGAGAGGUCGCUGAGAUACAGAGCGAGAACAAAUAUAAGCAGAGUGUGAAGAGGAGCCAGGCGGUCAGUGUUUACUCUCAGCUCUCAGAGACCAACGACAUCCAGUUCGCCAAAUCUGUGUCCGAGCUGCAGAGCGAGAGCAAAUAUAGAGAAGCAGGGAAGAGAGCGGCGUCCAGCUGCCUGUACUCCAAGCUGCCGGAGACUCUGGACACUCUGCACGCUAAAGAGCUUUCCCAGCUGCAGAGCCAGGUGACGUACAAACAGGACCGUAAGAAGGAGGCGAGCAGCUCUCUGUAUCACCAGCUGCCUGAAACCACAGAGACACAGCUGGCUAAAGAGCUGCGAGACCUUUACAGCGAGGUGAAGUACAAAGAAGGCGGGAAGAAGGAGACCGGGAAGAACCUGUACUCGCUCCUCCCGGAGACGGCAGAGACCGAGUUCGCCAAGCAGAUGUCCGAGGUCCAGAGUGAGACAAAGUACAAGAAGGACAAAGAGGAUCUGUCCAUCACUCUGCACUCGCUGCUGCCUGAAACUCUGCACACUCAGUUUGUCAGAGAGAUGGCCGACACACACAGCGAGGUCAAGUACAAGGAAGCGGUGAAGAAAGAAGCCGGCAGCUCUCUGUACCACCAGCUGCCCGAGACUCUGGAGACGCAGCGUGUGAAAGAGGUUACGGAGCUGCAGAGCGAGAACAAGUACAAGCAGAGCGGGAAGAAGUCCAUGUCGUCCAGUCUGUACGCUCAGCUGCCACAGACGGCCGAGACGCAGCUCGCCGCCAAGAUGUCGGACCUGCAGAGCGAGAGUAAAUAUAAGGAGGACGGGAUCAGGAGCCUCUCGCAGAGCUUCUACUCGCAGCUUCCUGAAACUACCCAGACUCAGUUUGUUAAAACUGUCUCUGAGCUGCAGAGCGAGGCCAAGUACAAGGAGGCGAGCAGGAAGGAGGCGAGCAGCUGUCUGUACCACCAGCUGCCUGAAACUCUGGAGACGCUGCACGCUAAAGAGGCCACGGAGCUGCAGAGUCAGCUCAGGUACAAGGAAGGAGGUAAGAAAGAGCUGAGCACCAACCUGUACUCAGCGCUGGCCGAGACAGAAGAGAUGAAGCUCGCUAAAGCCGCCAUGGAGCUCCAGAGCGAGAAUAAAUACAAGCAGAAAGGCAGACUGGAGAUCAGCAGCAGCGUCUUCCACCACAUGCCGGAGACCAAAGAGAUGGAGUUUGUGAAGCAGAUCUCUGAACUGCAGAGCGAGACAAAGUACAAGAAGGACAAAGAGGAUCUGCCCAACACUCUGUACUCGCUGCUGCCCGAAACUCUGCACACUCAGUUUGUCAAAGAGAUGGCCGACACACACAGCGAGAGUAAAUACAAGGAGGCGGGUAAGAAGGAGCUGGUGAACUCUCUGUACUCUGUGCUGCCAGAGACCAAAGACACUCAACACGCCAAAGAGCAAACUCAGCUGCACAGUGAGAAAGCUUACAGGGAGGAGGGGAAGAAGGAGGCCGGCUGCAGCCUGUACGCUCUGAUGCCACAAACCAUCGAGACCGUGUUUGCUAAGGAGCUGACCAAGACGCAGAGCGACAAGUUCUAUAAGGAGAAGUUUAAUCGUGAGAAGGGGAAGUCCAGCUACACCAACAUGAAAACACUGCCGGAGGUGGAACACGCCAUGGAGGUCAACAAGAAGCAGAGCGAUGUCAGCUACAGAAAAGGCAAAGAGGAGCUGCAUCACUACAACACGGCGGCAGACAGACCGGACAUCGUCAACGCCACCAACGCUGCUAAACUGGCCAGCGACGUUGCCUAUAAGAGUAACACCAAGCUGCCAGUUUACAGUGACGGCUCACUUUUGGACAGAACUGACAUCCAGCACGCCAAGGAGGUUUCAAAACUGGCCAGCCAGGUGAAGUAUAAGGAGAGUUUCGACAGACAUUUAAAGGGCCAGCGUCCUCGUUACAACCCGCUAGACUGUCUGUCGUUCAAACACACACAAGCUGCUUCUGCUCUGGCCAGUCAGGUGAAGUAUAAAAGCAACCAGAACCAGAAACCAGAAGGUUCCUCAGACCUGCCGAACCUCCUGCAGCUGGAACACGUGCUGCACGCCAGCAAGCUGCAGAGUAACGUGGAGUAUAAGAAGAAGUACGAGCAGACGAAGGCUGAGUACCACAUCGCUCUGGACACGGCUGAACAGCUCCACCACAAGGAGAACGCAGUGCUGCACAGCCAGGUGAAGUACAGAGAGGAGUACGAGAGGAGCAAAGGUCGCUCUCAGCUGGAGUUUGGAGACACUCAGACGUACAAAGUGUCCAAAGAAGCGCAGAAGAUGCAGAGUGAGAAAGAGUAUCGGAGAGACUAUGAGGAGCAGGUGAAGGGGAAAGCCUUGGUGGAUGUAGACCAGACACCUGGAUACCUGACAGCCCGCCACGCCAGCAGCCUGCUGAGCGAGAAGGCGUACAGGAAGGACCUGGAGCAGGAAGUGAAGGGGCGGGGCUUAUCCGGCAUGGGGCUGGAGGACACACCUGAGCUCCUGAGGGUUAGAAAUGCCAAUCAGAUUCUGAACCAGAAGGAGUACCGCAGGGAUUUACAGAGGGACAUUGUGGGUAAAGGCAUGGAGCUGAGCGCGGACGUUCUUGAGAUACAACGAGCCAAGAGAGCCUCAGAGAUCCAGAGCCAGAGGUCCUACAAGCAGACCGAGCAGCUCAGAGAAAACUUGUACGGGACGAUGACAGACACUCCUGAACUGCUGCACGCCUCCUACCUCAAAGACAUCUACAGCCAGAAGAAGUAUAAGGACGAAGCGGCACGCCUGACGGGAAGCUACAGUCUGGUCUCAGAAACUCCAGAGAUGGAGCGAGUCAAAGCGAACCAGAGACACAUCAGCUCUCUGCGAUACUGCUGGGACUCGAAGCUGAUGAGAGGGCUGAUGUCUUCAGUCGCGGAGACACCAGAGAUCGUCCUCGCCAGAGAGAACGCCAAGAAGAUCAGCGACGUCCAGUACAGGGAGGAAGUGGGCCGUGGCACCGCCGUCAUCGACACACCUGAGAUGGAGCGAGUCCGACGCAACCAGGAGAACAUCAGCACGGUAAAGUACCGGCAGAGUGCCGUGAAGGCCACCAGCGUCGGACUGACUCCAGAACUGGAGAGAGUCAGACAGAACCAGGAGAACAUCAGCUCGGUGAAGUACCAGCGCGGGCUGCAGGAGAUGAGAGGCCGCAGCUGCACCGAGCUGGACACACCUGAGUACAGGCGUGUCAGGAAGUCACAGGACUCGGUCUCCAUGGUAGUAGCCUGGUUGCCGUGGCUCCCGCCUGGAUUGCGGGUGGAGCUAACGCGAGUGACGUGGUGGCACUGCGGGUGGGACUGACGCACCGCUACUAACACCGACCACCAGACAGCAUGGAGAACAGAGCUGUGUGUGUGUGUGUGUGUGUGUGUGUGUGUGUGUGUGUGUGUGUGUGUGUAUGUGUUAACUCUGUGUGUGUGUCAUUUCCGUGAUAAAUGUGUGUGUAUACUCUUUAACAGGCCAAGUACCACGAGGAUUUUGAACGGGCGCGCGGCCGAGGCUGUACGCCCGGAUUGGACGAUCCCAG
RNA transcript from Larimichthys crocea (large yellow croaker), 8719 nucleotides. It is a transcript of the gene named LIM zinc-binding domain-containing Nebulette, with no coding region annotated. The transcript is spliced from 73 exons. The record is from RefSeq and is a predicted model, not a curated record. NCBI's taxonomy places the organism in Eukaryota, Metazoa, Chordata, Actinopteri, Sciaenidae.